This 243-nucleotide ribosomal RNA is filed under the name uncultured Enterobacteriaceae bacterium. Its description in RNAcentral is "partial 16S ribosomal RNA". It matches the Rfam family "Bacterial small subunit ribosomal RNA", at positions 1140 to 1382 of the family's 1533-position model. Lineage: Bacteria; Pseudomonadati; Pseudomonadota; Gammaproteobacteria; Enterobacterales; Enterobacteriaceae. The record is from RNAcentral.
CAAAGGAGACUGCCAGUGAUAAACUGGAGGAAGGUGGGGAUGACGUCAAGUCAUCAUGGCCCUUACGACCAGGGCUACACACGUGCUAUAAUGGCGCAUACAAAGAGAAGCGACCUCGCGAGAGCAAGCGGACCUCAUAAAGUGCGUCGUAGUCCGGAUUGGAGUCUGCAACUCGACUCCAUGAAGUCGGAAUCGCUAGUAAUCGUGGAUCAGAAUGCCACGGUGAAUACGUUCCCGGGCCUU